Molecule: ribosomal RNA, 1388 nt
Filed under: metagenome
Description: bacterial LSU rRNA
Rfam family: Bacterial large subunit ribosomal RNA
Source: RNAcentral
UUUCAUAACACCGAGAAGCGAUAACGAUUGUCUACGGACAAGAAGUGACAGAUACCACGCUUCCAGGAAAAGCCACUAAGCUUCAGCCAAGUCAGAACCGUACCGCAAACCGACACAGGUGGGUAGGAUGAGAAUUCUAAGGCGCUUGAGAGAACUCAGGAGAAGGAACUCGGCAAAUUGGUACCGUAACUUCGGGAGAAGGUAUGCCCUUUGAUGUGAAAGACUAGCUCUGUAAGCAUCGGAGGGUCGCAGAGAAUCGGUGGCUGCGACUGCUUAUUAAAAACACAGCACUCUGCUAACACGAAAGUGGACGUAUAGGGUGUGACGCCUGCCCGGUGCUGGAAGGUUAAUUGAAGAUGUGAGAGCAUUGGAUCGAAGCCCCAGUAAACGGCGGCCGUAACUAUAACGGUCCUAAGGUAGCGAAAUUCCUUGUCGGGUAAGUUCCGACCCGCACGAAUGGCGUAACGAUGGCCACACUGUCUCCUCCUGAGACUCAGCGAAGUUGAAACGUUGUGAAGAUGCAAUCUCCCCGCUGCUAGACGGAAAGACCCCGUGAACCUUUACUGUAGCUUUGCAUUGGACUUUGAAGUCACUUGUGUAGGAUAGGUGGGAGGCUUAGAAGCAGAGACGCUAGUUUCUGUGGAGCCGUCCUUGAAAUACCACCCUGGUGACUUUGAGGUUCUAACCCAGACCCGUAAUCCGGGUCGGGGACCGUGCAUGGUAGGCAGUUUGACUGGGGCGGUCUCCUCCCAAAGAGUAACGGAGGAGUUCGAAGGUUACCUAGGUCCGGUCGGAAAUCGGGCUGAUAGUGCGAUGGCAAAAGGUAGCUUAACUGCGAGACCGACAAGUCGAGCAGGUGCGAAAGCAGGACAUAGUGAUCCGGUGGUUCUGAAUGGAAGGGCCAUCGCUCAACGGAUAAAAGGUACUCCGGGGAUAACAGGCUGAUUCCGCCCAAGAGUUCAUAUCGACGGCGGAGUUUGGCACCUCGAUGUCGGCUCAUCACAUCCUGGGGCUGUAGUCGGUCCCAAGGGUAUGGCUGUUCGCCAUUUAAAGUGGUACGUGAGCUGGGUUUAAAACGUCGUGAGACAGUUUGGUCCCUAUCUGCAGUGGGCGUUGGAAGUUUGACGGGGGCUGCUCCUAGUACGAGAGGACCGGAGUGGACGAACCUCUGGUGUACCGGUUGUCACGCCAGUGGCAUAGCCGGGUAGCUAAGUUCGGAAGAGAUAAGCGCUGAAAGCAUCUAAGCGCGAAACUCGCCUGAAGAUGAGACUUCCCUGGUGGUUAAACCACCCUAAAGAGUCGUUCGAGACCAGGACGUUGAUAGGUCGGGUGUGGAAGCGCGGUAACGCGUGAAGCUAACCGAUACUAAUUGCUCGUGAGGCUUGACC